Molecule: ribosomal RNA, 253 nt
Filed under: uncultured bacterium
Lineage: Bacteria
Description: partial 16S ribosomal RNA
Rfam family: Bacterial small subunit ribosomal RNA
Source: RNAcentral
UACGUAGGCGGCAAGCGUUGUCCGGGUUUACUGGGUGUAAAGGGCGUGUAGCCGGGUUGACAAGUCAGAUGUGAAAUCCUGCGGCUUAACCGCAGAACUGCAUUUGAAACUGUUGAUCUUGAGUACUGGAGAGGCAGACGGAAUUCCUAGUGUAGCGGUGAAAUGCGUAGAUAUUAGGAGGAACACCAGUGGCGAAGGCGGUCUGCUGGACAGCAACUGACGGUGAGGCGCGAAAGCGUGGGGAGCAAACAGG